Molecule: ribosomal RNA, 405 nt
Filed under: uncultured bacterium
Lineage: Bacteria
Description: bacterial SSU rRNA
Rfam family: Bacterial small subunit ribosomal RNA
Source: RNAcentral
AGCGAACGUUAGCGGCGGGCCUAACACAUGCAAGUCGAACGCGAAAGGUCUUCGGACUGAGUAGAGUGGCGCACGGGUGAGUAACACGUAGGUAAUCUACCCUUUGGCGGGGGAUAACGUUCCGAAAGGAGCGCUAAUACCGCAUAAGACCACGGAGUCUCCGGACGCUGUGGGAAAAGGUGGCCUCUUCUUGAAAGCUAUCACCGAAGGAUGAGCCUGCGUCCCAUCAGCUAGUUGGUAAGGUAAUGGCUUACCAAGGCGAAGACGGGUAGCUGGUUUGAGAGAAUGAUCAGCCACACUGGCACUGGAACACGGGCCAGACUCCUACGGGAGGCAGCAGUGAGGAAUAUUGGGCAAUGGGCGAAAGCCUGACCCAGCCACGCCGCGUGAGUGAUGAAGGCCUUC